This 467-nucleotide ribosomal RNA is filed under the name uncultured bacterium. Its description in RNAcentral is "partial 16S ribosomal RNA". It matches the Rfam family "Bacterial small subunit ribosomal RNA", at positions 29 to 507 of the family's 1533-position model. The record is from RNAcentral.
ACGAACGCUGGCGGCGUGCUUCACCCCUGCCAGUCGAACGGAAAGGCCCUGCUUUUGUGGGGUGCUCGAGUGGCGAACGGGUGAGUAACACGUGAGUAACCUGCCCUUGACUUUGGGAUAACUUCGGGAAACUGGGGCUAAUACCGGAUAGGAGCUCCUGCUGCAUGGUGGGGGUUGGAAAGUUUCGGCGGUUGGGGAUGGACUCGCGGCUUAUCAGCUUGUUGGUGGGGUAGUGGCUUACCAAGGCUUUGACGGGUAGCCGGCCUGAGAGGGUGACCGGCCACAUUGGGACUGAGAUACGGCCCAGACUCCUACGGGAGGCAGCAGUGGGGAAUAUUGCACAAUGGGCGGAAGCCUGAUGCAGCAACGCCGCGUGCGGGAUGACGGCCUUCGGGUUGUAAACCGCUUUCGCCUGUGACGAAGCGUGAGUGACGGUAAUGGGUAAAGAAGCACCGGCUAACUACGUG